UCCGCACUGAAGCGAGAGAGAGAGAAACAUCUUCUUCUUUUUUUUCGUUUUCCCCUCUCUUUUUCAUCGAACUCUUCUUCUCUUUUGCAGGUUCAAUCUGAGAGGAAAAAUUAACUCUCUACUUCUAUCUUACCCUGCAUCUUCAUCUAAAUAAUUAACUGAAGGGGUUUUUGAUUGCAGGAUAAAAUUGUUGAGGUUUUUCUCUAUCUAUGCAACAAAAAGGGUAAACCUAUUUCUCCAUCUCUACAGAAAAAUUGGGUGCUUACAAGUACGUUUCUGAGUUGUGGAGGAAGAAACAAGCCGAUGUUAUGAGGUUUUUGUAGAGGGUUAGGUGCUGGGAGUACCGCUAACAUCCUUCAAGUUGUAUGUGUUACCCGUCCUGGUAAGACUAGACGUUUGAGUUACAAGGUCCAGAAGGUAAUCGAAAGUCUUAAAUCUUGGCUUUAAUUUGUUGUUUUCAGUGCAUUUGAUAUGUUAAAGCUCAUUGAAUCCUGAUUUUCAUCUUAGUCUCAAGUUAAAUUUCGAGUUACUUUGGAAUCAGUUUAUUUGUUGAAUAAAUUGUUUUGAUUUUAUGGUUUUCAUGAAGUCUUAAAUGGUAAAACUGCACCUUUCUCUGGUUUUCUUCAAUGUUUGGAUGGUGUUAGGUAUCGGUUCGCGUAAUGACGUCCGUAGACUUCAAAAAUGUUAAACUCGAAUGAGUUAUUACUCAUUAGUUAUUUGUCAAACUAAGGUGCCUAGACAAGUUUGAGUUGCGUCGUCGGGUUAUGUUUGAUUUUGCAAUGCAUAUUGUGUGUCUUACUUUUCUCAAUGCAUGGAAGUCCAGCUUAUAUAAUUACGUACUAUAUUUUUCUGACUAAUUAUAAUGUUCUAACUAUCUGAUUUAUGUAACCAUAUACAGGUUCUCGAUGAUGCCUUCUUUAAAUAUUAGACCAAGCCUAAGCUAAUGAUAAGCACACAAGUGCGACACUUUUAUACCCGCAUUUAUACUAGCUAGGUCUCGAUAUCUCGCUAAUAACUAUGUUUUAGAGCUUUUACAGGAAUGAUAAGUGAAAUCCGUUCGCCCGGAGAACUAAUGGCCUAGAAGCUAAAUUGGUGCUUGCGACUUGCAAUGCCAAAGGAGUCGGAGCUUGUGGGCUAGCAAGCCAACAAUUUAUGGGCCGCAUCACUUAAGCCAGGAGGUUGAACAAAGAAAUGAUGUCCUUUACCAAACGUGUGAGCUGCACAAGGGGGCUUAGAAAGUGAGACAUGUCCCAUUUUUCCACCUCUUCGGUCUUAUCAAAACAAGAAAAAGAAAUGUUCAAUUUUCUUUCUCAUUUCAAGCUGGUAACAACAGAGAAUGGGAAUUUGAGAUCGAGCUUCAUACUUGAAUGGAAUUCGUCAUCAUCCAAACAGCUACAGCCAAACCAAGGUAGUAUCUUCUCCGUUACCUCUCGUUAGAUGGAGUUCAAGCUCUUCUCUCCAAUUCAUGAGCACCAGAUCUUGAGGCAACAUCAAUGGAUCUGUGUGAGACUGUUGUAGUGUUGGAAUUUAUACGCAGCAGCAACAGCAACAGAGCUACAAAGUUCGUUAUCGGCUGAAAUUGGUUUUGACCUAACUUUUGGUCUUGAUUAAAUGGUGACUGUUUGGGGCGGUUCUGAGUUGUAAACGAAGAUGAAAUCAUGAAGAUGCAGAUGAAGUGUCAAGACUGAAACUUGGUUACAGCAAAGCUAGGUCGUGAUGUUUGUUCGCUGUGAACGGAGAUUGGGUUCAUUCCAUGAGCUUGAUCGAUGGAGAUUUGGGGGUUUCAACAUCAGUUGAUAUUGGGUCUUAAUUUAAUGGUGAUGGACAGCGAAAACAGAUGAUUCUGUGGGUAUUCGAUUGAACGCAGAAAGGUGUUGCUGCCAUGAAUGUUGUGAUUAUGAAAAACAGGUCAGUGGCCGGAGUUGGGAAACAGUUCAGUUAAGAAAGUACUGGUUGCUUGAGUCCAGUGGUGUCUAAAGAUCCCAUAAAACCAACUCCCUGUAAUAUGUGGUACUGUUAAGUGGUUUUGAAUGGUGAAAAACACUUGCUGCUGCUGUUGAUUUAACGGAGUUGGAGAAGGUGUAUAUGUUGACUGAAUUUUGGAAGUCGUCGAGCUGGUGUAGUCGGUGGUGGCUGGAAGUGCAGGGAAAGCAGCUGUGGCGAAGCUUGGUUCAGCUUUUGUGAUCAAUGGCUAGCUUUGUGGUUGGAUGUGAACUGAAAGUAGUCAGGGAGUUUGGCUGAGUUGAUUGCAAAUUGUAUAAGGCAGUCUCAUAUGGAACAAGGAGAUGGAUUCCAAUUGAGUUUUUCUAUAGAGCUUGGAUCAGAGCUAAUCGAGCUGUAAUAGCCAGUGGGUGACGAGACUGUGAAUAUUCUGAAGUACAACUGUAGCCGAUAUGUAGAGUGGUUGUUUGCGAUUCUGCACUUGAAUGUUCUCGACUGAGAACAAACACAGCAGUAACAACUGGUGAAGACGGUGGUACUGCCUGAUUGCAAGUGAUGAUGGUGGCUGGGCAACCUGCGGUGGUGUUUUGUAAGAUGGAGAUGCUGGUGUUGGCUGCAUCAGUUCAGUGGAUCUGAAAUGGUCGUGACCAGUGGUGCUGAGAUGAUUGGAUUGAGCUGGUUGUUGGUGGUAUUGGUCAUGGCUGUGAACAAGGAGGUGCAGACAGUGGCCAGACUUAUUGUUGGCCUGGAGUUCUGUUUUUGGACUGGGCUUUGGUGUGUGCUGGCGUCCGUCACCAGAGGAGAGUUUGGAUGGCUAUUUAACCUGGCGUGAAGAGAAGAAAAGAUACACCGAAUACAGGGAAGAAACUAGGGUUUGCAUUUAUCUUUACUUUUCGAUUUGCAUAACUUGAUUUAUUCCUGAAUCAUUUUCUAUGGCUUUUAAGAAAGCUAUGUCUAGCUAAACUCUUCAUUAGGGUGAAAGAUGAACUUGUAGUUUUGAUUUAUUUGUGUUCUAAAAUAGAGGUUUUCAACAACUAAAGCUUAAUGUCAAUUGUUUGAGUUUCUCUUAAUGUUUUAUUUUCUUUUCAACUUCUCAUGUUCUAUGCCAUAUAUAGUUCAUUGUUAGGUUGAUAGAAAUACUCAUUUAAACCUUGUUAUCGAUUGAUUUAUGAACAUCCCGAGACUAUGUAUGCCAUGUAUGCUUAGUACUAGGGACUUCUACCUUAGGUUGAGAACAAACAAUCUUUUAUGAUAACUCUUCUCUAAAGAUCAUUAAUGAAAUAUCUUCCGUGUGUGAGUAGCAAGUAAAGCCUAGCUUACAACGGAUUCUGUAGCCCUAAUAAUUCUACAUCUUUGAUUACAAUCUUAAUUAAUUUGCUUUGAUUCACUUUGUUAGUUUACAAGAAUUCUGAAAUCUCCAUUUUGAAAUAUUCUUGACUCGAAAGUAACUAGUAUUGAUUGGAAAUAGUGUUUGUCACUCCUCGUGGGAACGAUCCCUAUUUGCCACUAUUCACAUGUAGUGCACCGUAUACUUGCGGUUAAUUAAAGUCGGUUCUCCGAUUCAUCAGCUAACAAUUCAUGGCGAGCUCUAUCACGAAGGGAAGUGUUUGAGGUAUUAAUUCUGUCACUUAUGUUCUUCAUUUACUUGAGCUCAUAAAAACCAAUCUACUAGUCGUACUGUUUACUUGAGGUGUAAAUUGUGUUACUGAAUGACAAGAAGUCAUCCAGAAUUUUUGUCAAACAAAAUUGGGUGUUCAGUGCUCUUAAGGAUUCUGAUUUUGGAUUUCUAAUUCUUAUCAAACAAAAUUGAAUGAGUUAUGUGGUAUUUAUGAUUCUAAUAUUGGGUUUGAUUUGUUAGUUUUAAUAGGCUUGUAUUGAUUAUUUUGUGGUUUUGUAUGAAUAAUUUUUGGUGCAUGAUUGAGAUGUACAUGAUGAAAGAAAAUUAGGAACCACUGGUGGUGCUAUAUGUGUGUUCUGAUGAAAGUGCUGGUGGUGAUGGUAGUGAGAUCUUCCUAUCAACGAUAAUGGGUUGAAGAUAAUACGGAGCUUGUUCUUUCUGGAUACCUAGUUGGUUCCUGCUUUCAUGUCCAUAAGCAGAGAUCCAGAUGAAAGAUACAGAGAACAAAGGUCAGUGGCUCAAGUAAAGAGUGGGUUUAAUUGUGGUAAGUUUCUUGGAUUUGGUGAGCUUGGUGGUCCCUCUUUAUUUGCUGUCGAGGAGUACUCGCUUCACUCUGGAUAUCUAGCGAAAUCAAAUUAUCUCAAUCUUUUUAAAAUUGCAGAGUUGAGAUUUGUUGUAACUGGUGGUGGUAGUUGGGUCUAUGCGUGGCCGGUGGGGAUUGGAAAGUGGGAUGAUAGAUGAUUCCCAACUAUCCUUGUACAGGAUGAGAAGAACAUCAACAGUCUUAUAGGUUUUGUUUUCACAUAUACUGUUGAGAAAGACAACUUGAAGAUCCUUGGAGAUGGCAUAUAUAUUUAGUUUGUUCAGUGAGUAUUGAGGUUGAGAAAUCUACUAGCUUGGCUAGAAUUUUUUCAGCUUCUCAAGUUAUAUGUAGAUGCAUAAAUAGAGCUUGGGUUGGUCUUGGAGAAGCUCUUGAAGGUAGCAUCGAGAAUAAGAUUCAUGGGUUACCGCUGAGUCCAUUUGAUCAAAUUUAUUGGAUUUGUGACUUCCAGAACAGAGUUUCCUAAUCAAUGUAAGGGUAGCUACGAACCGAAGGAAGAAGUUGGUGAUUCGGAUUAGGAGUUUCCUGCAUCACAGUAAUGACAUGGUUCUGAUAACCUCUAGAUUUAUCUAACUUCCAAACAUAUAGGUAGGUGAAUGGACACAACACCCAGUUGAGAGAGGCAUUUAAGUCUGUCACGGCAGACCAGAAGUAUCCUUAAGCGUGUGAUUCCAAGCAUCGCCACUAGAAUUUUAAGAGAUAUCCAAGAUGGGAAGCGCUUACACUAUCUAGAGAGAGGACUUGUUUGAGUACGGCGACCGGGAAUAUCUCGGUUUGCUGGUUUGUAGUUUUCUUUAUGAACCCAAGAACUUAGAUAUGACUUGUAUGAAUUCAGAUUUGAUUACUUCACUUUGAACUGUGUAAGAAAUACAAUAAUUUUUAUUUGAAUGGCCAUUUGAAUU
Long non-coding RNA from Papaver somniferum (opium poppy), 5062 nucleotides. RefSeq lists it as uncharacterized. The record is from RefSeq and is a predicted model, not a curated record. NCBI's taxonomy places the organism in Eukaryota, Viridiplantae, Streptophyta, Magnoliopsida, Ranunculales, Papaveraceae. The transcript is spliced from 9 exons.